Molecule: long non-coding RNA, 1425 nt
Organism: Aquila chrysaetos chrysaetos
Lineage: Eukaryota; Metazoa; Chordata; Aves; Accipitriformes; Accipitridae
Exons: 2
Source: RefSeq, a predicted model, not a curated record
UGACUGCACAUGCCAGCAUCCCCAGACAAAAGCUCUCCUGGCACAUAAUGGGAACAGAAGGGAGCGCUGGGCAGCGGCAUUCAGCCCUUGGGGAGCUGCUUUCCGAGCCCUUACUCUAGGGCUCCAGCCCCUUCUCUUUCCGAGUCAGCCAGGACUGCAGACUCGCAGAUAAUCCCCGUUCAAAAACCAGAUGGGUAUUUCAGCUCUCCACCAGUACCUUUGUACAUCAGCGGAUUUGCUCCAAUUGAGCUCUGGACCAAAGAAGUGCCUGGUUGCAGGAAGUCCCCAGAAAGUGACCUUCCCACUUGCUGCUUUUUGGUGUCACUGGACACCUUCAUCGGGUACGUGAUGGAGCAGGGUGACUGGGUGACACGGCUGUGCUCCUGGUUACCUCUCUGUCCUGCUCAGCUCACGAAGUCUGUACGACCUCCACCAAUGAGAGACCAAAGCACCCCAUGGCUGCUUAGCUGCACCUUGGCAAAACACUUACAACCCUAAAACUCCUGCUCUGAAGUCACCUCGAAACACCACCCGCCUCAACUUUUACCUGUGCAUCUUCUGAGCAUCUGGUGGCCUCUGGGUAGGCACAUCGCAGACCUUGGUGAAGGCCUGACUCCACAGGCUAGGGACACAGCACCACCUGGUGAAGCUCCACGGCUUAGCUCUGGCUUGACCAUGAGGAGGUACUGCUGCUCCACUUUCGCUUGUGGUGCUAUUAAAAUAAAAAGCAAAAAGGGAGAGAAAAGGAGCAGAACAUGCGUGAUCUGCAGAGAGCAUGCACAGAGCAGAGUGAGUGUGCACAGGGCAAGUAUGUGCAGGGAGUGGGGUGAGUGUGCAUGUGCGCACAGGGUAGGCGUGGAUAGAGGAGCAAGUACCUGCAUAGAGCAGGGUGAAUGUGCAUGUAUGUGCACAGAGGAGUGAGGGUGCCUGUGUGAGCACGCACAAAGCAGCAAGUAUGUGCACUGAGCAGGGUGAGUGAGCACAUCUGCACAGAGCAGCAAGUUUCUGCACGGAGCAGCGAGUUUGUGCACAGAGCAGAGUGGGCACGUGUGCACAGCAUAAGUGCGCACAGAGCAGGGUAUGCAGCGUAAACGCGCACAGAGCAGCAAGGAUGCAGAGUGAAUGUCCACAGAUCAGAGUAUGCAGUGCAGAGUAUACAGUGAAUGUGUACAGAGCGGGGUGAGUGUGCACGGGUACACACUGUAAGCAUGCACAGACUGGUGUAAGAGAGCACAUGCAGGGCAGAGCAACCAUGCACAGAACACGGGGACAACUCUGUCAGGUCCCAGGUGAGAACAAAACCUGCAAACUUAUUCAGUGGUUGCAGACCUGGCCAGGUUAACAUUUGGUGGGUGACAGGCACUGUUGGGCAAAGACAUAAAGAAUUAAAGGUGCAAAUUGGUCCUUUCCCUGUGAGACAAUGAA